Molecule: ribosomal RNA, 503 nt
Filed under: uncultured bacterium
Lineage: Bacteria
Description: bacterial SSU rRNA
Rfam family: Bacterial small subunit ribosomal RNA
Source: RNAcentral
GACGAACGCUGGCGGCGUGCUUAACACAUGCAAGUCGAGCGGGGAUGCUUUGCGGAAGGGCUUCGGCCCGGAAGGGAAGUAUUCUAGCGGCGGACGGGUGAGUAACGCGUGAGCAACCUACCCUACAGAGGGGGAUAACACAAUGAAAGUUGUGCUAAUACCGCAUGAGACCACGUUUCCACAUGGGGAUGGGGUCAAAGGAGAAAUCCGCUGUAGGCUGGGCUCGCGUCUGAUUAGCUAGUUGGUGGGGUAACGGCCUACCAAGGCGACGAUCAGUAGCCGGCCUGAGAGGGCGAUCGGCCACACUGGAACUGAGAGACGGUCCAGACUCCUACGGGAGGCAGCAGUGGGGAAUAUUGGGCAAUGGGGGAAACCCUGACCCAGCAACGCCGCGUGAGGGAAGAAGGCUUUCGGGUCGUAAACCUCUGUCCCAUGUGAAGAGGAGAAGACGGUAGCAUGGGAGGAAGCCCCGGCUAACUACGUGCCAGCCGCCGCAGUAAGAC